CUGGGCCAGAACAGUGCCGUCAUAGCCAGGGUACGCAGGGCCCUUUUCAUUGGGUACUGCAUUUACUUAGGCCACAAGAGACGGAGUGACCCUACCUUCAAGAACAGGCUGUGAGAACAAAGAAAGACACAGAAGCUUGCCAAGGAGAGAGCUGAGCUUUGCAAGUGACCUGACCUUAAAGUUGCUGAAGCUGUUCAGAAAUCUUCUUUGAAGAAAUACAGCUCAGAGAAGAGUUACUAGCUCAAGGUGAGUGUGAGAAGGACAUGGAGCAUCUGAUGACAGGGAGUGCUGGGUGUGGACAGUUACUGCGAGUGUCCAGUGGUCCAAUGCUCCUGAGUAAACUCCCAACAAUUAUCAGAAAAUUGUAAGCACUCAGAGCUCUGCUAAAG
This 389-nucleotide long non-coding RNA is filed under the name Homo sapiens (human). RNAcentral describes it as "non-protein coding lnc-PPP4R1-19:1". Lineage: Eukaryota; Metazoa; Chordata; Mammalia; Primates; Hominidae. The record is from RNAcentral.